AAUGCAUAAACCAAAUACUACACGUUCUCACAACUGAAAGCCAAACACUGAAUACACAUGGAUACUAAGAAGGGCUUGAUAGAUACUGGGGCCUAAUUGAGGGUGGAGAGAGGGAGAAGGGCAAGAAUCAAAAAAUAACCCAUUGGGUACUAUGCUCAUUACCUGGGUGAUAAAAUAAUCAGACUACCUUCAGUUUGGAAUUUCCAGUUUUUUCCUGUUUUUGGCUCAAGUCACAGGUAUUAAGUUUCGAUUUCCAAUAUUAUUAAUAAAAGUAGGUUUACCAGUGAUAACAAAGUGUUUUACCUAUGUUGCAAUGAUAAUUCUGAGCCAUUCACAGUGGAAAACAUGCUUCUUAAAACUAUUACAAAAAAUCGAAGAGGAGGACUUUCUCCCUUACUCAUUCUACAAGGUCAGUAUUAUUUUGAUACCAAAACCAGACAAAGACACAAAAAGAAAAGAAAACUACAGUCCAAUAUCCCUGAUGAGCAUAGACACAAAAAUCUUCAGCAAAAUACUGGCAAACCAAAUCCAACAGCACAUCAAAAAACGUAAUACAAUAUGAUCAGUUGAUAUUUACCCCAGGGAUUUAAGGGGUAUUUACCCCAGGGAUUUAAGUUGAUAUUUAUACCAGGGAUUCAAUAUGUAUAAAUCAAUAAAUGUGAUACAUCAUGUCAACAGAAUCAAGGACAAAACCCAUAUGACCAUUUCAACAGACACAGAAAAA
RNAcentral lists this long non-coding RNA (724 nucleotides) under Homo sapiens (human). Its description in RNAcentral is "non-protein coding lnc-NAP1L2-4:7". Lineage: Eukaryota; Metazoa; Chordata; Mammalia; Primates; Hominidae. The record is from RNAcentral.